RNAcentral lists this non-coding RNA (199 nucleotides) under Candidatus Amesbacteria bacterium GW2011_GWC1_47_15. The record is from RNAcentral. Lineage: Bacteria; Candidatus Amesiibacteriota.
AUUUCAGUCUUGCUAAAAGAAGACUUGAACGAGAAAGCCAUAAGUAAUUCUCGAAUCCUCAGAGACUUUACGCUCGACACUAAUUAAUUCGCGAGAAUAGUUAUCAAAUAAUUAUUCUCCAAGCGAAGCAUUUUGUCGAAGACAAAUGCGAAGCAAUUAAUUCGCGAAGAUAAAGUCCGAACUUCAUAGCGAUAUGAAG